AGCGAACGCUGGCGGCAGGCCUAACACAUGCAAGUCGAACGAACCUUUCGGGGUUAGUGGCGGACGGGUGAGUAACACGUGGGAACGUGCCUUUAGGUUCGGAAUAACUCAGGGAAACUUGUGCUAAUACCGAAUGUGCCCUUCGGGGGAAAGAUUAAUCGCCUUUAGAGCGGCCCGCGUCUGAUUAGCUAGUUGGUUGAGGUAAUGGCUCACCAAGGCGACGAUCAGUAGCUGGUCUGAGAGGAUGAUCAGCCACAUUGGGACUGAGACACGGCCCAAACUCCUACGGGAGGCAGCAGUGGGGAAUCUUGCGCAAUGGGCGAAAGCCUGACGCAGCCAUGCCGCGUGAAUGAUGAAGGUCUUAGGAUUGUAAAAUUCUUUCACCGGGGACGAUAAUGACGGUACCCGGAGAAGAAGCCCCGGCUAACG
This 429-nucleotide ribosomal RNA is filed under the name uncultured bacterium. RNAcentral describes it as "partial 16S ribosomal RNA". It matches the Rfam family "Bacterial small subunit ribosomal RNA", at positions 29 to 502 of the family's 1533-position model. The record is from RNAcentral.